AGCCAAUGAUGAGCUCUUUUAAAUUUCUGACACCUCGUAUGAAAACUGGUUGCAGUUCUUGAUUAUGGACAUGAGCUGAGGCUU
This is a small nucleolar RNA of Hemicordylus capensis (graceful crag lizard), 84 nucleotides long. RefSeq annotates it as small nucleolar RNA SNORD60. Lineage: Eukaryota; Metazoa; Chordata; Lepidosauria; Squamata; Cordylidae. The transcript has a single exon. The record is from RefSeq and is a predicted model, not a curated record.